Molecule: ribosomal RNA, 274 nt
Filed under: uncultured bacterium
Lineage: Bacteria
Description: partial 16S ribosomal RNA
Rfam family: Bacterial small subunit ribosomal RNA
Source: RNAcentral
AUACGGAGGGUGCGAGCGUUAUUCGGAAUCACUGGGCGUAAAGGACGCGUAGGCGGGUUUGUAAGUCAGGUGUGAAAUCCUACAGCUCAACUGUAGAACUGCACUUGAAACUACAGACCUAGAGUAUGGAAGGGGCAGAUGGAAUUAGUGGUGUAGGGGUAAAAUCCGUAGAUAUCACUAGGAAUACCGAAAGCGAAGGCGAUCUGCUGGGACAUUACUGACGCUGAGGCGUGAAAGCGUGGGGAGCAAACAGGAUUAGAAACCCUAGUAGUCC